GACGAACGCUGGCGGCGUGCCUAAUACAUGCAAGUUGAGCGCUGAAGGUUGGUACUUGUACCAACUGGAUGAGCAGCGAACGGGUGAGUAACGCGUGGGGAAUCUGCCUUUGAGCGGGGGACAACAUUUGGAAACGAAUGCUAAUACCGCAUAAAAACUUUAAACACAAGUUUUAAGUUUGAAAGAUGCAAUUGCAUCGCUCAAAGAUGAUCCCGCGUUGUAUUAGCUAGUUGGUGAGGUAAAGGCUCACCAAGGCGAUGAUACAUAGCCGACCUGAGAGGGUGAUCGGCCACAUUGGGACUGAGACACGGCCCAAACUCCUACGGGAGGCAGCAGUAGGGAAUCUUCGGCAAUGGACGAAAGUCUGACCGAGCAACGCCGCGUGAGUGAAGAAGGUUUUCGGAUCGUAAAACUCGGUUGGUAGAGAAGAACGUUGGUGAGAGUGGAAAGCUCAUCAAGUGACGGUAACUACACAGAAAGGGACGGCUAACUACGUG
RNAcentral lists this ribosomal RNA (497 nucleotides) under uncultured bacterium. RNAcentral's name for it is "partial 16S ribosomal RNA". It matches the Rfam family "Bacterial small subunit ribosomal RNA", at positions 28 to 507 of the family's 1533-position model. The record is from RNAcentral.